AAGUGAACCUGCGGAAGGAUCAUUACCUMKAGKUGUAGAGCUUUGCCUGCUAUCUCUUACCCAUGUCUUUUGAGUACCUUACGUUUCCUCGGCGGGUCCGCCCGCCGAUUGGACAAUUUAAACCAUUUGCAGUUGCAAUCAGCGUCUGAAAAAACUUAAUAGUUACAACUUUCAACAACGGAUCUCUUGGUUCUGGCAUCGAUGAAGAACGCAGCGAAAUGCGAUAAGUAGUGUGAAUUGCAGAAUUCAGUGAAUCAUCGAAUCUUUGAACGCACAUUGCGCCCCUUGGUAUUCCAUGGGGCAUGCCUGUUCGAGCGUCAUUUGUACCUUCAAGCUCUGCUUGGUGUUGGGUGUUUGUCUCGCCUCUGCGUGUAGACUCGCCUCAAAACAAUUGGCAGCCGGCGUAUUGAUUUCGGAGCGCAGUACAUCUCGCGCUUUGCACUCAUAACGACGACGUCCAAAAGUACAUUUUUACACUCUUGACCUCGGAUCAGGUAGGGAUACCCSCUGAACUUAAGCAUAUCAAUAAGCCGGAGGAAA
This 540-nucleotide ribosomal RNA is filed under the name Dothiorella gregaria. Its description in RNAcentral is "eukaryotic LSU rRNA". The stretch from base 167 to 320 matches the Rfam family "5.8S ribosomal RNA". The record is from RNAcentral. Lineage: Eukaryota; Fungi; Ascomycota; Dothideomycetes; Botryosphaeriales; Botryosphaeriaceae.